CGCACCGCCGCCCGCGCCCUCACCAGGUGACUCUGCCUGCUCCUCACUGUGAGCCCCCUGGUGCCCUAGGGAUGGCCUGGGACAAGCUCCAGGAGCCUUG
RNAcentral lists this small RNA (100 nucleotides) under Pongo abelii (Sumatran orangutan). RNAcentral describes it as "processed transcript". The record is from RNAcentral. Lineage: Eukaryota; Metazoa; Chordata; Mammalia; Primates; Hominidae.